RNAcentral lists this ribosomal RNA (444 nucleotides) under uncultured bacterium. RNAcentral describes it as "SSU rRNA". It matches the Rfam family "Bacterial small subunit ribosomal RNA", at positions 26 to 518 of the family's 1533-position model. The record is from RNAcentral.
AGAGCGAACGCUGGCGGCAGGCCUAACACAUGCAAGUCGAGCGCCCGUAGCAAUACGGGAGCGGCAGACGGGAGAGUAACACGUGGGAACGCGCCCUUCGGUUCGGAAUAACUCAGGGAAACUUGAGCUAAUACCGGAUACGCCCUUACGGGGAAAGAUUUAUUGCCGAAGGAACGGCCCGCGUCCGAUUAGCUAGUUGGUGAGGUAAUGGCUCACCAAGGCGACGAUCGGUAGCUGGUCUGAGAGGAUGACCAGCCUCACUGGGACUGAGACACGGCCCAGACUCCUACGGGAGGCAGCAGUGGGGAAUAUUGGACAAUGGGCGCAAGCCUGAUCCAGCCAUGCCGCGUGGAUGAUGAAGGCCUUAGGGUUGUAAAGUCCUUUAACGGGAGAUAAUGACGGUACCGUAGAAUAAGCCCCGGCUAACUUCGCGCCAGCAGCCGC